This 455-nucleotide unclassified non-coding RNA is filed under the name uncultured fungus. Its description in RNAcentral is "partial internal transcribed spacer 1". It matches the Rfam family "Bacterial small subunit ribosomal RNA", at positions 338 to 795 of the family's 1533-position model. Lineage: Eukaryota; Fungi. The record is from RNAcentral.
CCUACGGGUGGCAGCAGUAAGGAAUAUUGCGCAAUGGGCGAAAGCCUGACGCAGCGACGCCGCGUGGGGGAUGAAGGUCUUCGGAUUGUAAACCCCUUUCGGGAGGGAAGAUGGAACGAGCAAUCGUUCGGACGGUACCUCCAGAAGCAGCCACGGCUAACUUCGUGCCAGCAGCCGCGGUAAUACGAAGGUGGCAAGCGUUGUUCGGAUUUACUGGGCGUACAGGGAGCGUUGGCGGUUCGGUAAGCCCUUUGUGAAAUCUCCAGGCUUAACCUGGAACAGUCGGAGGGGACUGCCGGGCUAGAGGACGGGAGAGGAGCGCGGAAUUCCCGGUGUAGCGGUGAAAUGCGUAGAGAUCGGGAGGAAGGCCGGUGGCGAAGGCGGCGCUCUGGAACGUUUCUGACGCUGAGGCUCGAAAGCGUGGGGAGCAAACAGGAUUAGAUACCCGUGUAGUC